AAAAAAAAAGAGGAAGAAAAAAGGAAUCAUGAAAAUCCAUACAAAAUCUGUCAAGGCCCCAUCUGUGACUGCGUAUCAGAAUAUCACUAAGAAGCUCUGAGAAACAAAGUUCAUUCCAAGUCUAACGCAUAGUGUUUUUCGAUCAAUGAAAUUAAUUCAAGCCGGGGGAAAUGAGGGCGCAUACCAUGAAAAACUCUGUUCCUCCACUGAGGGUGGAAGGAAAGCAGCAUCACAGAUGUGUGUGUGGUCUUGGUUUUGGUGCAUGUAGCCAUGUUGAAACACUAAAGUGUUUUAUAAGCCAAAAUAAUCAGUGUGCUCAUGACUCCUUUUGAGAACCAGGUACACCUGCUGCUCCUCUGAGGAGUAUAAGGGCAUGAGUGAUCUCUGGUCUUGACAAGAAGAGGACUUAGAUUACAUAGGAUUGUUGCAAAAAGCAAGCUUUCAUAGCCAGCUACCUGAAGUAAUGUGGAAACAAAACUCCACCCUGGCCUUGAAAAUCCCCUGCAAACAUAUUUAUUUCCUUCUGAAUGGGAAUAUAUAAAGGUUAGGGACACUUAUUUGUAGGCUAUUUAUAUAUCUCCUCUUCAGGAUGUGAAGCUCGCAUAUUAAUGAAUUAACUCCAGGAAACAGGAGAACUAAAACAUUAACACUAUUCUAAUGCACCUUAUUAUUUUUAUUUUCCCUUUUUUAACCGUUGGAGUAUGCAAAUGUUCAGUUAACUGGUCCUCAUGUUUUCUCUUUAUUGAAUCGCUUUCACUACAGCAAAUAAAUAUUCAUAAAGAAAUGUGGACAAUCAAUCAUUUCAAAUAGUUCAAAGCCAUUUUCUUUCUAGACUGCAUAUAUUUUCAGCUGUAACUCGCCUUUAAUAUUUCAUUCAAAAGACAGACUUGUAGAAGGACAAUAGAGAUAAUGUGUCAAGUAGUAAUUAAAACAGGGAGUAAUGAUUAAAACCAUUUUGAUCUACAUUGUGCUCUGCCAGAUUCAUAAUCUCCUCUGUUUGUUAGGAUGACUUUCUACUUGCUUUAUACAGAAACUCAAAAUAAACUUCAUUUUGAAGACACCGAAGAAAACAAAGGAUUUUAACCCUGAGCUUGUGGGUCCAGAGCCCUUUCCAGUUCUGGAGUUUAGGUAUAUCUUCUGUACCAUCCUAGCAAGAUAAAUGCAAGCAGGCACUGUCCCUCCUGCUAAUACUGUGACUUCUCUGAGAAGUAAAUCCAGAUUACAGAGCAGAAGACAAGGAAGGGCCACCCCAAUGUGUACAGGUAAAUGUAACCCAUCUCACAAUUUAAGCUAAGAGCUUCGAAAGAAAUGAAAAUUAAAGAUCUUGUUAGCUUAUACAUUUAGCAAUCCUGGUUCAAAUCUAAGUAAGAAUUGUGUUCCUUGCCUCAUUGUAUAUUUUGGUAUCCAUAAACAUAUUUCACCCAAACUUAUCCUCUUUCCUGAUUUGUUGCUGACUUUAGGCCCUUGUUCAACUUAAAUACAGACUUAAAUAAAUUGAUUUAGGAAAGCAUUCCUCUUUGUGUUUAAUCCUGGGCAGACAUUCAACUUUGAAAUCAAGGGGACUUAUGAACAGCCCUGACCUUUGGGUCUAAAUGGUUCCCAAAUCAGUACACCGAUACAAAUAUAUUGGAAAAGAUACUAUCCAUGUCUAAUCAAAAUUUUAGUCUCUAAUUUCACAGGAAAAUACCCAAAGAUAACACAUUAUUCUGCUCAAGAAAUUCAUUUUAUAGCAUUUACUAGAAAGCCUUAAUUCACAUUGUUCUGUUUAUGCAAAAAAUUCCAG
Molecule: long non-coding RNA, 1783 nt
Organism: Empidonax traillii (willow flycatcher)
Lineage: Eukaryota; Metazoa; Chordata; Aves; Passeriformes; Tyrannidae
Exons: 4
Source: RefSeq, a predicted model, not a curated record